Molecule: ribosomal RNA, 223 nt
Filed under: uncultured bacterium
Lineage: Bacteria
Description: partial 16S ribosomal RNA
Rfam family: Bacterial small subunit ribosomal RNA
Source: RNAcentral
UGCUUAAUUCGAGGCAACGCGAAGAACCUUACCUAGGUUGAACUAUGCAGGAAAAGCCACAGAGAUGUGGUGUCCUUCGGGGCCUGCGAUAGGUGGUGCAUGGCUGUCGUCAGCUCGUGUCGUGAGAUGUUGGGUUAAGUCCCGCAACGAGCGCAACCCUUGUCCUAUGUUGCCAGCGGGUAAAGCCGGGGACUCGUAGGAGACUGCCGGGGUCAACUCGGAG